GCCGCGUGUGUGAAGAAGGCCUGAGGGUUGUAAAGCACUUUCAGUGGGGAGGAGGGUUGACAGGUUAAGAGCUAGUUAACUGGACGUUACCCACAGAAGAAGCACCGGCUAACUCCGUGCCAGCAGCCGCGGUAAUACGGAGGGUGCGAGCGUUAAUCGGAAUUACUGGGCGUAAAGGGUGCGUAGGUGGUUAAUUAAGUUAUCUGUGAAAUCCCUGGGCUCAACCUGGGCAGGUCAGAUAAGACUGGUUAACUCGAGUAUGGGAGAGGGUAGUGGAAUUUCCGGUGUAGCGGUGAAAUGCGUAGAGAUCGGAAGGAACACCAGUGGCGAAGGCGGCUACCUGGCCCAAUACUGACACUGAGGCACGAAAGCGUGGGGAGCAAACAGGAUUAGAUACCCUGGUAGUCCACGCCGUAAACGAUGUCAACUAGCUGUUGGAUAUAUGAAUAUAUUUAGUGGCGAAGCAAACGCGAUAAGUUGACCGCCUGGGGAGUACGGUCGCAAGAUUAAAACUCAAAGGAAUU
This 524-nucleotide ribosomal RNA is filed under the name uncultured bacterium. Its description in RNAcentral is "bacterial SSU rRNA". It matches the Rfam family "Bacterial small subunit ribosomal RNA", at positions 396 to 911 of the family's 1533-position model. The record is from RNAcentral.